RNAcentral lists this ribosomal RNA (559 nucleotides) under uncultured Glomus. RNAcentral describes it as "partial large subunit ribosomal RNA". It matches the Rfam family "Eukaryotic large subunit ribosomal RNA", at positions 156 to 637 of the family's 3401-position model. Lineage: Eukaryota; Fungi; Glomeromycota; Glomeromycetes; Glomerales; Glomeraceae. The record is from RNAcentral.
AAGCGUUUUCUUGGGCUCGCGGCCGGUAGAAGUUCUUUGGAACAGGACAUCAUAGAGGGUGACAAUCCCGUCCGUGACCGGUCGUGCGUUCAUCUACGAUACGCUUUCAAAGAGUCGAGUUGUUUGGGAUUGCAGCUCCAAAUGGGUGGUAAACAUCACCUAAGGCUAAAUAUUGGCGAGAGACCGAUAGCGAACAAGUACCGUGAGGGAAAGAUGAAAAGAACUUUGAAAAGAGAGUUAAACAGUACGCGAAAUUGUUGAAAGGGAAACGAUUGAAGUCAGUCGUGCUGGCGCGAAAUCAACCAUCUCGUCUUGAGGUCACAUGGCGCGACGAGCCUCAAAACCGUCACGAAGCGUGAACUCUUGACGAAAAGGUGCACUUUCGUGUCCGCUGGUUAACAUCAAUUUCGAUCGUCAUAAAAAGGCUGGAGGGAUGUGGCUCCUUCGGGAGUGUUAUAACCUUUAGCGGAAUGUGGUGUUCGGGAUUGAGGAUUGCAACGAAUACCUUCAGGGCUGUUCCACCUGGCUUCUCAUUGGUAUCCUGGUGACGACAGCUUGC